AAUAGAUGACGCCAUUGACUUUUUUUUCACAUGUUUGACCAUUCGUCUUAUUCAGAAAAUUUACAUAAUUAUAAUUUAUUUUGCUAUGAGUUGUUUUAUCACUCAUAGUACUUUAAGUGUGAUUUAUAUCUUAUAUAUUCGCAUAAAAUUUUUGAAUAAGACGAAUGGUCAAACAUGUAAGAAAAAGUCAACGGCGUUAUCUAUU
RNAcentral lists this microRNA precursor (205 nucleotides) under Oryza barthii. RNAcentral's name for it is "MIR812 microRNA precursor family". It matches the Rfam family "MIR812 microRNA precursor family". The record is from Rfam by way of RNAcentral. Lineage: Eukaryota; Viridiplantae; Streptophyta; Magnoliopsida; Poales; Poaceae.